RNAcentral lists this ribosomal RNA (465 nucleotides) under uncultured bacterium. RNAcentral describes it as "bacterial SSU rRNA". It matches the Rfam family "Bacterial small subunit ribosomal RNA", at positions 28 to 507 of the family's 1533-position model. The record is from RNAcentral.
GACGAACGCUGGCGGCGUGCUUAACACAUGCAAGUCGAACGAUGAUGCCCAGCUUGCUGGGUGGAUUAGUGGCGAACGGGUGAGUAACACGUGAGUAACCUGCCCCUGACUUCGGGAUAACUCCGGGAAACCGGGGCUAAUACCGGAUAUGAGCCGCUCUCGCAUGGGGGUGGUUGGAAAGUUUUUCGGUCAGGGAUGGGCUCGCGGCCUAUCAGCUUGUUGGUGGGGUGAUGGCCUACCAAGGCGACGACGGGUAGCCGGCCUGAGAGGGCGACCGGCCACACUGGGACUGAGACACGGCCCAGACUCCUACGGGAGGCAGCAGUGGGGAAUAUUGCACAAUGGGCGAAAGCCUGAUGCAGCGACGCCGCGUGAGGGAUGAAGGCCUUUGGGUUAUAAACCUCUUUCAGCAGGGAAGAAGCGCAAGUGACGGUACCUGCAGAAGAAGCGCCGGCUAACUACGUG